UGGCCUGCCCGCUGACGUAUUUUGAGUUGAAGGGCCGCGGUAUUUUGACCGUGCAAAGGUAGCAUAGUCAUUAGUUCUUUAAUUGUGAUCUGGUAUGAAUGGCUUGACGAGACAUGGGCUGUCUUGGGUGUGAAUUUGUUGUUGAAUUUGGAGUUUAAGUUAAAAUUCUUAGAUGUUUUUAUGGGACGAGAAGACCCUAUAGAGUUUGACAUUUGAUUGCGUAUUUCUUGUUGUUUGUUUU
RNAcentral lists this ribosomal RNA (241 nucleotides) under Odontotermes horni. Its description in RNAcentral is "partial large subunit ribosomal RNA". It matches the Rfam family "Archaeal large subunit ribosomal RNA", at positions 1946 to 2212 of the family's 2987-position model. Lineage: Eukaryota; Metazoa; Arthropoda; Insecta; Blattodea; Termitidae. The record is from RNAcentral.